This 56-nucleotide small nucleolar RNA is filed under the name Tursiops truncatus (common bottlenose dolphin). RNAcentral's name for it is "Small nucleolar RNA SNORD50 (ENSTTRG00000025342.1)". Lineage: Eukaryota; Metazoa; Chordata; Mammalia; Artiodactyla; Delphinidae. The record is from RNAcentral.
GAUCAGUGAUGAAACCUGUCCCAAAGCUGAUUACCUGAAGAAAAGCAUGCAUGGAU